This 507-nucleotide ribosomal RNA is filed under the name uncultured bacterium. RNAcentral's name for it is "partial 16S ribosomal RNA". It matches the Rfam family "Bacterial small subunit ribosomal RNA", at positions 28 to 507 of the family's 1533-position model. The record is from RNAcentral.
GACGAACGCUGGCGGCGUGCCUAAUACAUGCAAGUCGAACGCAUUUUCUUUCACCGUAGCUUGCUACACCGAAAGAAAAUGAGUGGCGAACGGGUGAGUAACACGUGGGUAACCUGCCCAUCAGCGGGGGACAACACUUGGAAACAGGUGCUAAUACCGCAUAAUUCCAUUUACCGCAUGGUAAAUGGAUGAAAGGCGCUUUUGCGUCACUGAUGGAUGGACCCGCGGUGCAUUAGCUAGUUGGUGGGGUAACGGCCUACCAAGGCUGCGAUGCAUAGCCGACCUGAGAGGGUGAUCGGCCACACUGGGACUGAGACACGGCCCAGACUCCUACGGGAGGCAGCAGUAGGGAAUCUUCGGCAAUGGACGCAAGUCUGACCGAGCAACGCCGCGUGAGUGAAGAAGGUUUUCGGAUCGUAAAACUCUGUUGUUAGAGAAGAACAAGGAUGAGAGUGGAAAGUUCAUCCCUUGACGGUAUCUAACCAGAAAGCCACGGCUAACUACGUG